GAUGAACGCUAGCGACAGGCUUAACACAUGCAAGUCGAGGGGAAACGCCAUCGAAAGCUUGCUUUUGAUGGGCGUCGACCGGCGCACGGGAGAGUAACGCGUAUCCAACCUGCCCACCACUUGGGGAUAACCUUGCGAAAGUAAGACUAAUACCCAAUGACGUCUCUAGAAGACAUCUGAAAGAGAUUAAAGAUUUAUCGGUGAUGGAUGGGGAUGCGUCUGAUUAGCUAGUUGGCGGGGUAACGGCCCACCAAGGCGACGAUCAGUAGGGGUUCUGAGAGGAAGGUCCCCUACAUUGGAACUGCGACACGGUCCACACUCCUACGGGAGGCAGCAGUGAGGAAUAUUGGUCAAUGGACGAGAGUCUGAACCAGCCAAGUAGCGUGCAGGAUGACGGCCCUAUGGGUUGUAAACUGCUUUUAUAAGGGAAUAAAGUGAGUCUCGUGAGACUUUUUGCAUGUACCUUAUGAAUAAGGACCGGCUAAUUCCGUG
Molecule: ribosomal RNA, 492 nt
Filed under: uncultured bacterium
Lineage: Bacteria
Description: partial 16S ribosomal RNA
Rfam family: Bacterial small subunit ribosomal RNA
Source: RNAcentral